CUCGUAGGUGGCUCUGUAAGUCGGAGGUGAAAGACCACGGCUCAACCGUGGAAACGCCUUCGAAACUGUGGAGCUUGAGGCUGGGAGAGGAAAUCGGAAUUCCUGGUGUAGCGGUGAAAUGCGUAGAUAUCAGGAGGAACACCGGUGGCGAAGGCGGAUUUCUGGACCAGUUCUGACACUGAGGAGCGAAAGCCAGGGGAGCAAACAGGAUUAGAUACCCUGGUAGUCCUGGCUGUAAACGAUGGGCACUAGGUGUGGGGGGAUCGACCCCUUCCGUGCCGCAGUUAACGCAUUAAGUGCCCCGCCUGGGGAGUACGACCGCAAGGUUGAA
This 331-nucleotide ribosomal RNA is filed under the name uncultured bacterium. RNAcentral describes it as "bacterial SSU rRNA". It matches the Rfam family "Bacterial small subunit ribosomal RNA", at positions 568 to 898 of the family's 1533-position model. The record is from RNAcentral.